AAAGAUUAAGCCAUGCAUGUCUAAGUAUAAGCUUUUUAUACGGCGAAACUGCGAAUGGCUCAUUAAAACAGUUAUAGUUUAUUUGAUAGUCACUUAGGUACUACAUGGAUAACCGUGGUAAUUCUAUGGCUAAUACAUGCGCAAAUACUAUACCUCUACGGUAUAGUAGUGUUUAUUAGAUACAGAACCAAUACGCUCCUUUUAUGGGGUGUUCAAUGAGGUGAUUCAUAGUAACCGAACGGAUCGCAUUAUGAUCAUAUUAUUAUGAUUGGCGAUAGAUCAUUCAAGUUUCUGACCUAUCAGCUUUCGACGGUAGUGUAUUGGACUACCGUGGCAGUGACGGGUAACGGGGAAUUAGGGUUCGAUUCCGGAGAGGGAGCCUGAGAAACGGCUACCACAUCUAAGGAAGGCAGCAGGCGCGCAAAUUACCCAAUCCUGACUCAGGGAGGUAGUGACAAGAAAUAACAACACUGGAAAUUUUAUUUCUAGUGAUUGGAAUGAUGGGAAUCCAAACCC
This 516-nucleotide ribosomal RNA is filed under the name Sarcocystis sp. RNAcentral's name for it is "SSU rRNA". It matches the Rfam family "Eukaryotic small subunit ribosomal RNA", at positions 39 to 532 of the family's 1831-position model. Lineage: Eukaryota; Apicomplexa; Conoidasida; Eucoccidiorida; Sarcocystidae. The record is from RNAcentral.